UCUAUAAUGGCAGAUUAGUGCACUGGGUUUAAACCCCAGUUAUGAAAUUAAUUUCUUUUAGAA
This 63-nucleotide transfer RNA is filed under the name Gomphiocephalus hodgsoni. RNAcentral's name for it is "tRNA-Leu". It matches the Rfam family "tRNA". From Rfam's summary of the family: Transfer RNA (tRNA) molecules are approximately 80 nucleotides in length. Lineage: Eukaryota; Metazoa; Arthropoda; Collembola; Poduromorpha; Hypogastruridae. The record is from RNAcentral.